GGAAUAUUGGACAAUGGGCGCAAGCCUGAUCCAGCCACGCCGCGUGAGUGAUGAAGGCCUUCGGGUCGUAAAGCUCUGUGGGGAGGGACGAACCGCCGCUGGGUAAUACCCAACGGCAUGACGGUACCCCCUUAGCAAGCACCGGCUACCUUCGUGCCCGCCGCCGCGGUAAUACGAAGGGUGCAAACGUUGCUCGGAAUUAUUGGGCGUAAAGCGCACGUAGGCGGCUUUGUAAGUUGGAUGUGAAAGCCCUCGGCUCAACCAAGGAAGUGCAUCCAAAACUACAGAGCUUGAGUACUUAAGAGGAUCGCGGAAUUCCCGGUGUAGAGGUGAAAUUCGUAGAUAUCGGGAGGAACACCAGUGGCGAAGGCGGCGAUCUGGGAAGAUACCGACGCUGAGGUGCGAAAGCGUGGGGAGCAAAC
This 422-nucleotide ribosomal RNA is filed under the name uncultured bacterium. RNAcentral describes it as "bacterial SSU rRNA". It matches the Rfam family "Bacterial small subunit ribosomal RNA", at positions 358 to 773 of the family's 1533-position model. The record is from RNAcentral.